CAGAUUUCGAAGCUGUUGUGAUGUUUCGAAGAUCUGGAAAUAUUUAACCGUUAGUUCAUCCUGAAUUUUUUAUAUGUUAUGCAAGAGUCGAUGAGGAACAACUUCAAUAAAGAAAGCAUACCGAUCUGAACAAGAGAAAAUGGAGUUUCGAAGCUCACAACACAUCUGACGGGUUGACAGAAAAAUAAUAACCAGUCAUUCAUCAUACCUGGAUUUCUGGAGUUAUACUGCU
RNAcentral lists this long non-coding RNA (232 nucleotides) under Malus domestica (apple). Its description in RNAcentral is "long non-coding RNA (MDOM_LNC003342)". The record is from RNAcentral. Lineage: Eukaryota; Viridiplantae; Streptophyta; Magnoliopsida; Rosales; Rosaceae.